Non-coding RNA from Desarmillaria ectypa, 97 nucleotides. NCBI's taxonomy places the organism in Eukaryota, Fungi, Basidiomycota, Agaricomycetes, Agaricales, Physalacriaceae. The record is from the annotation of a GenBank genome assembly.
GGCUUGAUGGUCUAGUAGUAUGAUUCCUUGUUAGGGUAUACUGCCAUUAGUAUAAAUCAUAUCGAGGAGGUCCUGGGUUCAAUUCCCAGUCAAGCCC